This 460-nucleotide ribosomal RNA is filed under the name uncultured bacterium. RNAcentral describes it as "partial 16S ribosomal RNA". It matches the Rfam family "Bacterial small subunit ribosomal RNA", at positions 338 to 795 of the family's 1533-position model. The record is from RNAcentral.
CCUACGGGUGGCUGCAGUGAGGGAUAUUGGUCAAUGGACGAGAGUCUGAACCAGCCAAGUAGCGUGAAGGAUGACUGCCCUAUGUAUUGUAAACUUCUUUUAUAAAGGAGUAAAACGAGGCAGGUGUGCCUUUUUGCAUGUACUUUAUGAAUGAGGAACGGCUAACUCCGAGCCAGCAGCCGCGGUAAUACGGAGGAUGCGAGCGUUAUCCGGAUUUACUGGGUGUAUAGGGAGCGUAGAUGGGUUAGUAAGUCAGUUGUGAAAGUCUGGGGCUCAACCGCAAAACUGCAAUUGAUACUGGUGGUCUUGAGUGCAGUAGAGGUAAGCGGAAUUCCUAGUGUAGCGGUGAAAUGCGUAGAUAUUAGGAGGAACACCAGUGGCGAAGGCAGCUUACUAGACUGUAACUGACAUUGAUGCUCGAAAGUGUGGGUAGCAAACAGGAUUAGAUACCCCAGUAGUC